RNAcentral lists this ribosomal RNA (536 nucleotides) under Neozeleboria femoratus. RNAcentral describes it as "partial 16S ribosomal RNA". It matches the Rfam family "Bacterial large subunit ribosomal RNA", at positions 1805 to 2612 of the family's 2925-position model. Lineage: Eukaryota; Metazoa; Arthropoda; Insecta; Hymenoptera; Thynnidae. The record is from RNAcentral.
UAACAAAAACAUGGUUUUAAAGAUUAUAAUUUAAAAUCUAUUCUGCUCACUGAAUAUAUGUAUUUAAAGAGCUGCAGUAUCCUGACUGUGCAAAGGUAGCAAAGUCAUUUGUUUAUUAAUUAUAAACUGGAAUGAAAGAGUUGAUGAGAUAAAGACUGUCUCUAAUUAAUUAGUAGAAUUUAAAUUUUAAGUUAAAAUUCUUAAAUUUAUUUUUUAGACGAGAAGACCCUAUAGAAUUUUAUAAUUUUCUUAUAUUUUUAAUGUUAUUUUCUUUGUUAGGAGUAUAAGAAAUUUAUUUGAUUGGGAGGAUUAUUAAAUUAAAUUAACUUUUUAAUUGAAAACCAAUAAUUUUUGAUUACUUGAUUUUUAAAUAAAUAAAAGAUUAAAUUACCUUAGGGAUAACAGCGUAAUAUUUUUGGAGAGAUCAUAUUAAUAAAAAUGUUUGCGACCUCGAUGUUGAAUUAAGAUAAAAAUUAAAUGCAGAAGUUUAAUAAUUGAGUCUGUUCGACUUUUAAAAUCUUACGUGAUCUGAGUUC